Non-coding RNA from Danio rerio (zebrafish), 456 nucleotides. NCBI's taxonomy places the organism in Eukaryota, Metazoa, Chordata, Actinopteri, Cypriniformes, Danionidae. The record is from RefSeq and is a predicted model, not a curated record.
UAAUAGUUUUAUUUAUAAUAUAAUUCAAAUUUUGAUUUAAAAUAUUCAGUAUAGCUAUUUAUAUAUGGGUAAAUAAAUGUUUUUUUUUUUGGGUGGGGUGCAGUUGAGGGGGGCUCGUGGCCCAGUAGAGCUUUACCCCUGAGACUAACAAGGGGAACAGUGGAGAUAAACUGGAAGACCUGGAGCUCGGCAAAGAGAUUUGUACGAAGCAUGUGGAAGAACAGGGAAACACACCUCAGUAAUCACAAGUGCAUCAUAAUAAAUUAGAGUGAUAGUCGGGUAUUUUCUUUGGAUGGACGGACGGACGAACGGAUAGAUAGUAUUGAACAAGCAGGCAACAGAUGCUCUAACUCAGGGGUGUCCAAACUCGGUCCUGGAGGGCCGGUGUCCUGCAGAUUUUAGCUCCAACUUGCCUCAACACACCUGCAAAGAUGUUUCUAGAAAGCCUGGUAAGAG